RNAcentral lists this ribosomal RNA (371 nucleotides) under uncultured organism. RNAcentral's name for it is "partial 16S ribosomal RNA". It matches the Rfam family "Bacterial small subunit ribosomal RNA", at positions 527 to 896 of the family's 1533-position model. The record is from RNAcentral.
GUAUGGGGCGAGCGUUGUUCGGAUUUACUGGGCGUAAAGGGCUUGUAGGUGGUGGAUCAAGUCGGAUGUGAAAUCUCCGGGCUUAACCCGGAAAUUGCAUUCGAAACUGAUCCGCUAGAGUACCGGAGAGGGAAACGGAAUUCCUGGUGUAGGGGUGAAAUCUGUAGAUAUCAGGAAGAACACCGGUGGCGAAGGCGGUUUCCUGGCCGGAUACUGACACUGAGGAGCGAAAGCUAGGGGAGCAAACAGGAUUAGAUACCCUGGUAGUCCUAGCCGUAAACGUUGUGCACUAGGUGUAAGUAGGUUUAUCUACUUGUGCCCGUAGCUAACGCAUUAAGUGCACCGCCUGGGGAGUAUGCUCGCAAGGGGUG